Molecule: ribosomal RNA, 497 nt
Filed under: uncultured bacterium
Lineage: Bacteria
Description: partial 16S ribosomal RNA
Rfam family: Bacterial small subunit ribosomal RNA
Source: RNAcentral
GGGGGGGGGGGGGGGGGGGGGGGGGGGGUGGGGGGGGGGGGGGGGGGGGGGAGGGGGGCGGCUGUGGUGGUGGCGGCGGGCGGGUGAGGGACACGUGGAUAACCUACCUAUACGGCUGGGAUAACUUCGGGCAACCGGCGCGAAUGCCGGAGAAUGUUUUGAACCGCCUGGUUCAAAAGUGAAAGGCGGUCUUGCUGUCACUGCUCGCUGGAUCCGCGCUGCAGUAGCUAGUUGGUACGGUAACCGCUGACCAAGGCAACGAUGCAUAUCCGACCUGCGAGGGGGAGCGGCCACACUGGACGUGAGACACGGUCCAGACUCCUACGGGAGGCAGCAGUAGGGAAGCUUCUGCAAAGGGCGAAAGCCUGACGGAGCAACGCCGCGUGAGUGAUGAAGGUCUUCGGAUCGUAAAACUCUGUUAUGAGGGAAGAACAUAUGUGUAAGUAACUGUGCACAUCUUGACGGUACCUAAUCAGAAAGCCACGGCUAACUACGUG